Molecule: unclassified non-coding RNA, 261 nt
Filed under: Hyphodermella rosae
Lineage: Eukaryota; Fungi; Basidiomycota; Agaricomycetes; Polyporales; Phanerochaetaceae
Description: partial internal transcribed spacer region
Rfam family: Eukaryotic small subunit ribosomal RNA (bases 1-46)
Source: RNAcentral
AAGUCGUAACAAGGUUUCCGUAGGUGAACCUGCGGAAGGAUCAUUAACGAGUUUUGAAAGGGGUUGUCGCUGGCCUUUCACGAGGCAUGUGCACACCCUGCUCAUCCACUCUCAACCUCUGUGCACUUAUUGUAGGUCGGUGGAAGGCUCGCAAGAGUUGGAAGCCUGCUUAUGUUUUACUACAAACGCUUCAGUUAUAGAAUGUUUACUUGCGUAUAACGCAUUUAUAUACAACUUUCAGCAACGGAUCUCUUGGCUCUC